Polypterus senegalus (gray bichir) is the source of this 268-nucleotide long non-coding RNA. RefSeq lists it as uncharacterized. NCBI's taxonomy places the organism in Eukaryota, Metazoa, Chordata, Cladistia, Polypteriformes, Polypteridae. The transcript is spliced from 3 exons. The record is from RefSeq and is a predicted model, not a curated record.
AUUGAGUCGUGGUGGUCCAUAUUCAGAAAGGGAAGGUCUCAGUUCUGGAUGGAGUUAUUUGCAGACCUCAGAGAUGCAGGACACUUUAAUGGAAGUCGUGAACAUCAGUGCUUGCUAAGAUUUUGCUUCAAGGAUGUCAUACAGAAUGACCUGGAUGAAUGCAUGACUCUGUGGAACAGUCACCGGAUUCGCACUUCUACAACCGCGUCAUGUCCUGGAGGAGUGCCCAAUGAACUGUACUACUUACCACACAGAUUUGGCUCCAGAG